RNAcentral lists this long non-coding RNA (1123 nucleotides) under Pogona vitticeps (central bearded dragon). Its description in RNAcentral is "lncRNA (ENSPVIG00000021404.1)". Lineage: Eukaryota; Metazoa; Chordata; Lepidosauria; Squamata; Agamidae. The record is from RNAcentral.
AUAACCCAGGAACAGUUUGUCCAUUGUGAGUGACACUUUAUUGAAACAAAUUUACUCGCUCCCUACUUACUGCUUAACUCAAAGCCUCGUAUAAGUUCCCCCAAAACUAGACUGGGGAGCUAGAUUGAUAUGGGGGGGGGGUUUUCUUUAAUCUGGCUGUCUUCUGAUCUGCAGGUCAUGUUUAUUAAACCGGAGGCGAGGGGUAUUCAACGGGAUUCUGUGAUUCUAAUUAGUGUUUUUAACUGCCUCCAAAAUGAGUACAGGGAGAGGGCAAGGUGUAGCCCCUCCGGGAGUUGAUUCCAUAAGGCAGGCGCCACCACCGAGGAGGCCCUGCCUCUAGCAGACGACUUUUAGGCCUCUCUCAGGGUAACGUGAGAGGCAAGGGGACUGAGAAAGAAAAAACUGCCUUCCAGACGGCUAUACGGUUCAUCCCAUGGAGCGCUCCGCCUGGCCUGCUCCGUCUACCCCACCCCCAACCCCGGCGGGCGUCGGCAGCCCUCACCCUCCCUCCCUCCCUCCCUCGGGGUACCCCUGCCCGGCCGGCCGUGGGAAGCCCUCAGGACACCGGAGCCCCUCGGCCUGUUCGUUCUGAGGCGGGGCGGCUUCCCCCCCCCUUCCGCCCCGCUCAGGGUGCCUGACUCGAGCGAGGAAAAACCCCAGGGGAGGGCGCCGCCCAGGGCUGGCCGGCCUCGCUCGGAGGCACGCGUGGAAGAGCCUUUCCUUCCACCCGGGAGGGACUCCGCUCGCCCGGGGAACUCCCACGGAGCCUGGCCCUUUUCCCGCCCGCCAGCCCGCCUUCUCUCUCUCUCUCGGGACCGCCGAAGGAGGAGAAGGAGGCGCUCUGCCCCUCGCCCCGCCAGGCUCUAUGGUGCCACGAGCAGGAGCGGCGGCCGCGGAUAGGUCGGCCGCGGGGCACGUGGGGAGCGUUGCGCGGCAACGGCGGCGAACUUCCGCCUGGCGAGGGAGAAGGCGAGCUGGGGCCAUGGGACGGGGCCGCCCAGGGGGGUCGCCGGCGGUGCGCGACACCGGAGGCAGCAGCGCCGCCAGCAAGAGGUCCACGGCCGCGCUGGGCUACGUGGAGGACCGCUUCGUCCAGCAGCUCGUGCCCCGGAGCGGCGGAGGC